Molecule: ribosomal RNA, 253 nt
Filed under: uncultured bacterium
Lineage: Bacteria
Description: partial 16S ribosomal RNA
Rfam family: Bacterial small subunit ribosomal RNA
Source: RNAcentral
UACGUAGGGGGCAAGCGUUGUCCGGAAUCAUUGGGCGUAAAGCGCGUGUAGGCGGCUUCGUAAGUCCGUUGUGAAAGUCCAGGGCUCAACCCUGGAAUGCCGAUGGAUACUGCGGAGCUAGAGUCCGGAAGAGGAGAGUGGAAUUCCUGGUGUAGCGGUGAAAUGCGCAGAUAUCAGGAGGAACACCGAUUGCGAAGGCAGCUCGCUGGGACGUCACUGACGCUGAGACGCGAAAGCGUGGGGAGCAAACAGG